This 497-nucleotide ribosomal RNA is filed under the name uncultured bacterium. RNAcentral's name for it is "partial 16S ribosomal RNA". It matches the Rfam family "Bacterial small subunit ribosomal RNA", at positions 28 to 507 of the family's 1533-position model. The record is from RNAcentral.
GAUGAAUGCUGGCGGCGUGCCUAAUACAUGCAAGUCGAGCGAACAGACGAGGAGCUUGCUCCUCUGACGUUAGCGGCGGACGGGUGAGUAACACGUGGAUAACCUACCUAUAAGACUGGGAUAACUUCGGGAAACCGGAGCUAAUACCGGAUAAUAUAUUGAACCGCAUGGUUCAAUAGUGAAAGACGGUUUUGCUGUCACUUAUAGAUGGAUCCGCGCCGCAUUAGCUAGUUGGUAAGGUAACGGCUUACCAAGGCGACGAUGCGUAGCCGACCUGAGAGGGUGAUCGGCCACACUGGAACUGAGACACGGUCCAGACUCCUACGGGAGGCAGCAGUAGGGAAUCUUCCGCAAUAGGCGAAAGCCUGACGGAGCAACGCCGCGUGAGUGAUGAAGGUCUUCGGAUCGUAAAACUCUGUUAUUAGGGAAGAACAAAUGUGUAAGUAACUAUGCACGUCUUGACGGUACCUAAUCAGAAAGCCACGGCUAACUACGUG